RNAcentral lists this unclassified non-coding RNA (526 nucleotides) under Tremella saccharicola. RNAcentral's name for it is "partial contains ITS1, 5.8S rRNA and ITS2". The stretch from base 173 to 326 matches the Rfam family "5.8S ribosomal RNA". Lineage: Eukaryota; Fungi; Basidiomycota; Tremellomycetes; Tremellales; Tremellaceae. The record is from RNAcentral.
UAGAGGAAGUAAAAGUCAUAACAAGGUUUCCGUAGGUGAACCUGCGGAAGGAUCAUUAGAGAUGCCGAAAGGCUUUUCCAAACACCUGUGCACCGGCCUGAAGCCCGCGAGGGCCGACGGCCAUCUACACACAUACAGCUGUCAUGAACGUAAAUUAUCAUAACGAAAAAACAACUUUCAACAACGGAUCUCUUGGCUCUCGCAUCGAUGAAGAACGCAGCGAAAUGCGAUAAGUAAUGUGAAUUGCAGAAUUCAGUGAAUCAUCGAAUCUUUGAACGCACCUUGCGCCUUUUGGUAUUCCGAAAGGCAUGCCUGUUUGAGUGUCAUGUAGACUCAACCCCUCGGGUUUCUUGCCCGAGGUGCGUUGGAUCUGGGCCCUGCCUACCUGGCUGGCCUUAAAUGUGUUAGCGGUGACCGCGCAGACGUUGUAAGCACUCGUCGACCGUCGGGCCCGCUCAUAACCCCACCUACUUUUGCACUCUGACCUCAAAUCAGGUAGGGCUACCCGCUGAACUUAAGCAUAUCA